CAGGAAAGAGCCGGUAAAGAGGGGCAGCUGGCAGAGUAAGGAUGAUGACGGUUCAGCGUCCGGAUGAAGUUUCGUGCCUCCGUGUUCCUGUUUCAUCAUACUGCAGUACACCUGCGCAAAUGUUGCCAGUGACACACGCACGUGGAUUUUGCUCAUGACAUAUCGUGUUAUAAUUUCACACAAAAAGUAUUGUUGAGCUGUGGUUACCAGUAUUCGAAAAAAUAAUAAUUGCCGGAAUAUGUCAACCGAACUGAAUUCAAGUAUUGAUAAUAUGACGGUUACCGGUGGUGAGGACGACAUAGUCACCCCAUGGGCAGUCGAAAGUAAAAGUGAUGGUGGAAUCGAUUGCGAUAAAUUAAUUCAACGAUUUGGUAGUUCAAAAAUCGAUGAUGAACUUUUGGAACGUUUUACCAAAAUAACAGGAAAACCGGCACAUCAUUUUCUCAGAAGGGGAAUAUUUUUCUCUCAUCGGGACAUGCACACGGUUUUGAAUCUUUACGAACAAGGGAAACCAUUCUAUCUCUACACAGGAAGAGGGCCAAGUUCUGACGCUAUGCACUUGGGCCAUUUGAUUCCAUUUGUUUUUUGCAAAUGGUUGCAGGACGUUUUUAACGUUCCACUAGUAAUACAACUGACUGACGAUGAGAAAUUCAUAUGGAAGAAUCUGAAAAUGGAAGAAGCCAUCAAGCUGUCUUACACCAAUGCUAAAGACAUAAUAGCGUGUGGCUUUGAUUUGAAGAAGACUUUCAUUUUCUCAAAUCUCGAGCACAUUGGCAAUAAUCCAGCGUUUUAUCAGAAUAUGAUAAGAAUACAGAGAUCUGUUACUUUCAAUCAAGUCAAAGGAAUUUUUGGCUUUGGUGAUAGCGAUCCUAUUGGAAAAAUCAGUUUCCCUCCCACGCAAGCGGCACCUGCCAUCUCCAGUACUUUCCCCUUCAUUUUUGGCAAUGCCAAAGUUCCAUGCCUCAUCCCUUGUGGGAUCGAUCAAGAUCCUUACUUCAGAAUGACCAGAGACAUUGCCCCUAAAUUGGGAUAUCCCAAACCAGCUCUCUUACACUCUUCCUUCUUUCCUGCUCUCCAAGGAUCUAAAACAAAAAUGUCUGCCAGCGAUAUCAAUUCGGCUAUCUUCCUCACCGAUACUCCUAAACAAAUUAAAAACAAAGUUAACAAACACGCAUUUUCUGGCGGUCGAGCAACCGUCGAGGAGCACAGACAAUUUGGUGGCAAUUGCGAAGUUGAUAUUUCUUACCAGUGGCUUAAAUUUUUCCUCGAAGAUGAUGAUAAACUUCAAAAACUCGAAAAGGGCUACACGAGCGGGGAAAUUCUAACGGGUGAAUUGAAGAAAGAGUUAAUAGAUGUGAUUCAAAAAAUGGUGUCGGAGCAUCAAGCAAUAAGAAGUACGAUAACUGACGAUGUAGUAAAACAAUACAUGGAGCCACGAGAUCUCGGUUUUGUACUUAGCAAAUGAUGCGUAAUAGGAAAAAGAAACUACCCCCAAGCGUCAAAUAUUUUUGCACGAUCUUUGCAGGCUCUAAGGAAGAAUGCACCACGUUAAGCGCUUAUGAUGUUAUUUAAAUACUGAAUAUUUUCUAAUUAAUUAAUGAAAUAUAUUUAUUAUGCUUUAAAAAGAAAAACGUUUGUCUAUGUGAAUACAAAAAUUAUUUUUAUCUAUAAUUAUCAUGAGGAAAAAAUUCUAGAAUUUAAGGAAAAUCUUUGAAGAAUCAGACAAAACCGCGCCAAUACGAUUGACGGUUUUCUCAUUCUGCAUCGCUCUACGCUGGAUAAGGUAUUUCAGGCUCAUACGUUACGAAAUUUAUGUAAUUUGUAUUACUCGUUACGCAUGCGCUACCUUGUUUGUCACAGCCAGUGUGCACAUAUGAAUGUGCACUGCUUUUCAUUCAAGGAUUAAACGUUGCGCGCGCGGCCCCCGACCGCUUCGAAGCAUUACUUCCGGUUUUCAACCGGAAACGAUCAUAUAACUACGAAGUAAAUAGUGACGAAUCGAUGAUAUUAUUAAAUUUUUACGCAUGUGAUAAAAUACAAUAUUAAUCGGUGUAUUUAUCGACCUAUUGUAUUCAGCAUACGACGUAAACAUUUACCUGAUUAGUUGGCGGGAAAACGAAAAGUUGAAUUCUCGAGCUCAGAAAUAAAAUAGCGGGAAGGAGAAGAGCGCAGUGACAGCGAAUGGUUUUCUGGUUUAUCGAAAAAAAGCAUGAAUACAAUUUUGGUGUUUACUUUUUACGAGAGAAUUUGAGUCUGAUAACAGAAUGAGCGUUUCCGGAAAGGUGAUAUAAUACAGCACUACACGCAAAUAUAUCGUAGCAGCUUCGCAUUAUAAGCAAGUAUGAACGGAAAAAACAGACAGCGAUUGGUCUAAAGUGACGACAUACUAAAGAUCUAUUAAUAAAAUGUGCGCAAGCGCAAUAACGUAAAACCCAGUGUGCGCGUCCGCCAUUCAUGCGAGUCGAUUUCGUUGUUUCCCUCCUCAGUGUGUGCGCGUUGGGCCCUGGGCAGAAAAAAAAACGAGAGAGUGUGAGAGAAAGAGAGAGAGAAAGCAAGAGAGCGCGACGACAUGGUGACGGUGAUAUUCGUGUGCCUUGACAAAAACAUGAGACGAGUCGAUUAGCACUCUCAUAUGACUCAAACGUUCAAUAUAACGCACGUACGGAGUAAUAAUGAUAAUCGGGAACGCUUGUCACACAUAAGAAGAGAGUAAAAAUAUCAUCGAAGCUAGACGUUGGAAGAUGCUGAUCAAAUAGAGGAAGAACGGAUCAUAUCGUGAGACAAGGUCGAGCGAAAGUGUUACAGGAAGAAAGAGAAAGGAGAUUAAAAACUCUGAAUAUAGGAUUUUAAGGGGGGAUACUAUGGGGACACUUUUGGACACGCCGAAUACAGAAAA
This 2896-nucleotide unclassified non-coding RNA is filed under the name Venturia canescens. Its description in RNAcentral is "protein phosphatase 1B, transcript variant X1". The record is from RNAcentral. Lineage: Eukaryota; Metazoa; Arthropoda; Insecta; Hymenoptera; Ichneumonidae.